RNAcentral lists this long non-coding RNA (1161 nucleotides) under Nicotiana tabacum (common tobacco). Its description in RNAcentral is "long non-coding RNA (NTAB_LNC016208)". The record is from RNAcentral. Lineage: Eukaryota; Viridiplantae; Streptophyta; Magnoliopsida; Solanales; Solanaceae.
AGCUAAUGUCAUUAUAUGACUAAUCCAGACGAAUGAUGGUCUUCAAAUGAUUUUCGCAACUUUUCAUGAUUUUGAAAUCUUUCACCCGCUAAAUUAUCCAAUAUCAGACAGUAUGGCCUGAAAUUAUAAAUAAUUGUGUCAAAAGAUAAAGUAUAAUGUGAAAAAACAUCUUGAACAUUCCAUCAACUGUUAGAAUAGCCAACUACCUCACCUAACAUAAUGGUGAACCAACAACAACCAAAGAAGAUUACUACCAAGGGGAAAGAAAUUGUGCAAAGAAAAAGUAGUACAACAAUAGCUCAUAUGCAGAUCAAUGCCAAAGCACAAAACAAAGGAAAAGUGACCAAGCAAAUCUAUAUACCAAUCAAUCAAGUUCCUAGACCACAGAGACAACCUACUACAAGAACAGCUGAGACAACUAACAACAUGGGGGAGAACAAGGAUAACAGAGGAACUAAUACUAUAACAAAAAUUGUGAAGGAAAAGAAUCUCCAGGUGAUGAACAUGGGAGAUGAGUUACUAGCUAGAACAGAACAAUUUCCUGAAAAUCAGAGAAAACCUAUAACAAUUGCAGCUGAGACAAAUAAUACAAUGAGCGAGAAUAAGGAAAAUGGAAGGGCUGAUUCUGUAAUAGAAGCUGAGAAAGAAAAGAAUCUCCAGGAUCCAGAAUCACCUAGCAUCUUCCAGAUGAUGAAUAGGGGAGAAGAACUAUUGGUUAGAAUGUGAUAGCAUCCUAGGAAGUUCAACUCUAUUCAAGGACAUGGAUGAAGCUUUUGAAUCUCAAAGAUGGCCUUUAAUAAGAGUUCAAGCUAAGGAAUUACAAAACAAGAUCAUUAGACUUCAAGUGCAAAUGAAGAAGUUAUUAAUUGGGAGGAAGAGCUCAAGGAUAAAGGAUGUGAAUUGGCUAGGUGAUAGCAUCAAGGACAAGGAUAGAGUUUUGGAAGCUCCAAGGCCAUAUACAAGAUCUCAAGCUAAAGAGUUGCAAACUAAGGUUGCUAGACUUCAAUGGCAAAUAAAGAAGCUUUCAAUUGUAGAGGAAGAGCUCAAGACCAAAGGAAAUAAAUUUUCCAAAUUUUACAAUUAUAUGGUGGUCCAAAUUGAAGUCCAAGAGGAGGAAGAUCGGGUCACCAAAUUAGCCCUUGAAAUCCAUCAAAAAGGGCU